This 93-nucleotide transfer RNA is filed under the name Candidatus Brocadiia bacterium. RNAcentral's name for it is "tRNA-Ser". It matches the Rfam family "tRNA". From Rfam's summary of the family: Transfer RNA (tRNA) molecules are approximately 80 nucleotides in length. The record is from RNAcentral. Lineage: Bacteria; Pseudomonadati; Planctomycetota; Candidatus Brocadiia.
GGAGAGGUGGCUGAGUGGCUGAAAGCGGCAGAUUGCUAAUCUGUUGAGGUGAUUUAUUCGCCUCCGCGGGUUCGAAUCCCGCCCUCUCCGCCA